RNAcentral lists this non-coding RNA (31 nucleotides) under Homo sapiens (human). The record is from RNAcentral. Lineage: Eukaryota; Metazoa; Chordata; Mammalia; Primates; Hominidae.
UGCCUCAGCGUGGCCACAUCAGCCGAAGCUC